GAUGAAGAACGUAGUGAAAUGCGAUACGUAAUGUGAAUUGCAGAAUUCAGUGAAUCAUCGAAUCUUUGAACGCAUAUUGCGCUCUCUGGUAUUCCGGAGAGCAUGCUUGUUUGAGUAUCAGUAAACACCUCAACUUCCAUAUCUUUUUUGAAAUGGGAGUUGGACUUGAGUGAUCCCAACGCUUUUCCUCACCGAAAAGUGGCGGGUUACAUGAAAUGCAGGUGCAGCUGGACUUUUCUCUGAGCUAUAAGCAUAUCUAUUUAGUCUGCCUAAAAAACAGAUUAUUACCUUUGCUGCAGCUAACAUAAAGGAGAUUAGUUCUUGUGCUGACUGAUGCAGGAUUCACAAAGACAGGCUUCGGCCGACUUUGUAAACUCGAUCUCAAAUCAAGUAAGACUACCCGCUGAACUUAAGCAUAUCAAUAAGCGGAGGA
RNAcentral lists this unclassified non-coding RNA (433 nucleotides) under soil metagenome. RNAcentral describes it as "partial contains 5.8S ribosomal RNA, internal transcribed spacer 2, and large subunit ribosomal RNA". The stretch from base 1 to 120 matches the Rfam family "5.8S ribosomal RNA", at positions 35 to 154 of the family's 154-position model. The record is from RNAcentral.